Molecule: ribosomal RNA, 427 nt
Filed under: uncultured bacterium
Lineage: Bacteria
Description: bacterial SSU rRNA
Rfam family: Bacterial small subunit ribosomal RNA
Source: RNAcentral
UGGGGAAUAUUGGACAAUGGGCGAAAGCCUGAUCCAGCCAUGCCGCGUGCGUGAAGAAGGUCUUCGGAUUGUAAAGCACUUUAAGUUGGGAGGAAGGGCAUUAACCUAAUACGUUAGUGUCUUGACGUUACCGACAGAAUAAGCACCGGCUAACUCUGUGCCAGCAGCCGCGGUAAUACAGAGGGUGCAAGCGUUAAUUGGAAUUACUGGGCGUAAAGCGCGCGUAGGUGGUUAGUUAAGUUGGAUGUGAAAUCCCCGGGCUCAACCUGGGAACUGCAUUCAAAACUGACUGACUAGAGUAUGGUAGAGGGUGGUGGAAUUUCCUGUGUAGCGGUGAAAUGCGUAGAUAUAGGAAGGAACACCAGUGGCGAAGGCAAUCCCCUGGACCUGUACUGACGCUCAUGCACGAAAGCGUGGGGAGCAAACA